GGAGGACGUAAGGGACAAGGGCUGGUACACGUCGCCGCCCUCCUUGCGGCCUCC
Molecule: non-coding RNA, 54 nt
Organism: Oscillibacter sp. KLE 1745
Lineage: Bacteria; Bacillati; Bacillota; Clostridia; Eubacteriales; Oscillospiraceae
Source: Rfam